Molecule: long non-coding RNA, 2866 nt
Filed under: Mus musculus (house mouse)
Lineage: Eukaryota; Metazoa; Chordata; Mammalia; Rodentia; Muridae
Description: long non-coding RNA chr15:76523328-76526194
Source: RNAcentral
GGCCUCACAAUGGCAGCGCGCGGGUGCAUAUGUCCCCAAUUAGGGCUGGGCGCCGCCAUUGUCCCUUCUUCGCCCCCUCCUCGCGUUGGGGUCUCUGAGCUGAGCUUUCCCCACGCAGCCUGCUCCGGCUAUCGACGAUGGUCGCGGAGCGGCAAGCAGAGACUGCAGCGUGGUGACCUUAUACGGACUGGCCCGGCGGGCGCAAGUGCCAGGGCGCCACAGCGGUGCUGAGCUCAGCUCCUUUCCUCCUGCUGCAUGCUGGGCUGCUACCGGCAUCCACUGCCUCGCGUUCGGCCACGGUGGGUGUAAGCUACCUGCCCUACACUGAGCGUGGAGACCACUCUCCUGCUUUAUGUUAGCGACUUCGCUCCUCGGCGGCGGGACAUUCAUCUUGCGUGGCAGGCGCUCCCGAGGGGCAGGACGGGUGCGGCCUCCCCCUUAUCGCUGAACAGCAGCCGGCGAAGCUCGCCGUAGGGGGUGGGGGGCGAGGGUUCCCUACCAGCCACACCGCUAGUCCGGGCUCCUUCCCAGAGGGGAACGGCUGAGGCGCAGCCGGAGGCGUCAGGCCAAUUAGCAUUUUGAUUGCUGGACUGAGGUGGGGGGUUCAUCUGGAACAAGGUCUAAUUACCAGACGGACCCUCAGGGCUCAGGCAGGCUCGAUUCCCACCCCCUCUCCGUUUGCUCCCUUCUCCUGGACAUUGUCCCCUCUUCUAACCCUAUACUCCCACUUCUAGGUCCCCUCACAGGCCCAGUCAUUCUGUCUAGCUCUGUCCCAUACUUUGCCCCUCGGGUCCCUUCUUUCUUAGUAGUGGUCCUUUGCCCAGCCAGUCUUUCCUGGGUCUGUUCUGAGUCCCAUUCCUCUGCUGCUCUGUCCUCGGCCCUCUUUUCUCCACCUCUUCUUACAAUCUCUGUCCUUAUGUUGUGUAUACAUCCCUUCCUCCUUUUUGUCCAUCUCCCAUCUCCUUUGGCCCCUAACCCUCCUUGAUGGAAGAGACCAUGUGCGGACACAUAUGAGCUUGGGUCUCAGGGCCAGGCAGUAUCAAAUGAACCAUUCAAACGGGCCUUGCUCUGGCUGUGAUGGAUCUCUCAGGACUCCUCCCCCCACGGAGGGUAGAGGGGCACACAGCUAGGAGGGGCAGCUGGGUCCAGGCCAUGGCCAUCAGUCCCCACCAGCCCAGGUACAUGAUGCACAUGGGGCCUGUGCAAUUACUCGGGCUUUCCACAUGGGCUCCUUGUGAACCUGACUCCCUGUCCCCACGUCCCCUUUCACAUCUAAAGGUUUCCCAGACCCUUGGCCAAGCCAGAGAGAUUGAGAAACUGUUGAACACUCAUUUUGACAAGUUGUAGGCACCUUUACCCAAGGCCCCAUUGAGUCUCUGAGAGUCUCAACGACUCUUCUGAGAAUCAAAGUCAGCCCCCAGCGAGUGGAUAACUACAGGCCCUAUUAGGCUGCCUUUCUAGCAACUCCCACAUCUCCUGCUAUUCUGGCCCAAUUUGCUCUGCCCUUAUCCCUUUCCUAUGAAUGUGUAGUCUAUACAGGAUUGCUCUAUGAAUGUCUUAGUCUGCUUUUGUUGUUUCCACGCUGCCUAGGUCCCAUCUUACAGAAAGGUUUAGGGGUUGGUGUUGCCACUGAUGUGUUCAGGCCCUGUGGUCUGUCACUUCUCCAUACACCUAGGGAAACAGCGGACAGCCUUACUGGAGGCUCCACCAACUUCUGCUGGGCUGAGAGGUGAUUGGCAAAGAAUGUAAAAUUGGCUUGCAAUUGCUGGUGGGGACAGCUUCUGUGGUGACUGGGGUGGAUGAGGUCAUUAUCGAGAAGGGGUCAAGGAUGUGGUAGGGAAAUGGAGGUGAAUCCUUGAGAGUACUUAAUUCAGCCACAGUGGUAGUGGCAGCCGGGCUAUGCAGCUCAUGACAGGUCUGAGGUAGGAAUCCUGGGAGAGAGUGAAACGGGGCUCUGCUAAUUCCGUAAGGGGCAUCUGUCGUGAGCCUUUUUGGAGGCUGCCGAGUUAGGGGGUAGCACAAAGGGAAGCUAUGUGUCCUGACUGGAGACGAGUUGAAGGUCCAGGGAAGGUCUACUUCCAAAGGCCUAAAGGGCAAACAGACUUGCUCCUCACUGAGGCGGAACCAUUGGAAGCCAUGUUAGCUACUGCACCACUGUAACGGGUGGCAAGGAGAAGAAAUGUUUAUUUUUAGGUCACGGUUUUCGAGGUCCCAACACCCGUUUCCUCUUUUGUUUCUGGGCCCUUCUCAGGAAGAGCAUCAUGAUAGAAAAACCUAGCAGAACACAGUUACUCACUAACAGCAACCAGGAAGCAGAGAGGGAUGCAGGAGAGUGCUGGACAAGGUAUUUAUUUCCAGAUCACAACCUCAGUAUUCGCUUUCCUCCGGCUAGGCCUACCUACCAGUUUCUGCCACUGUCUGGAAAAUGCUAUAAUCUGGUUUCACUGAUGGAUUAGUGAGGCCUGGUAACCAAUCAGUUUCUAAAUGUCCCACCUCUGAACUUGGCUGCAUCGGGAACCAGGCCUUUAACAUGCAACCCUUUUGGAGGAAUACUUUAUAUUUAAACAAUGACAAAAGCCAAGGUUACAGGGGGAAGCCAUGAGUCUGAAUCAUAGCACAACCACAACUGUAUCCAUGAAAAAAUAAGAAAAGCACAAGACCCCGAGUUCAAGCCCCAGGGGCCCACAGAAAAAAGCCAGACACAGUGGCAUGGACUGUAAUCCCAGCACUGGGAGAAUAAGAGCCAGGCAGAUCCCUAAAGCUCACUGGCCAGUCCACCUAGCCUGCUUGGUGAGUUCUUGGCCAAUGAGAAACCUUGUCUCAAAAAAUAAAAAAAUGAAAAUAAAUAAAUAAAUAAAUAAAAUUU